GGCAUUCCUGUACUUUCUAUAAAUGUGAUGGAGUGACGGGGGAGGAUAGCACUACCACUUAUUGGAUUGUGGGGUAAAUAGUGACUGGGUUAUGUAGGCAAAUCCGCAUAACUUAACCGGGAGAUAUGAUGCAUAGUGAAAGGGCAACUAAGUAGCGAAUUGGAUGAUUCCAUACCUCUUAAAAAAGCUUCUAACAUAUAGUUUAUGGAAACCCGUACCGAGAACGGACACACGUCCCCAAGAUGAGUAUUCUAAGGCGAGCGAGAAAACCAAUGUCAAGGAACUCUGCAAAUUCAUCCCGUAAGUUCGCAAGAAGGGAUGCCCACCCUAAAAAGUGGGCCGCAGUGAAUAGUAAGGGGGAACUGUUUAUCAAAAACACAGCUCUAUGCUAAGUCGUAAGACGAUGUAUAUGGGGUGACUCCUGCCCAGUGCCCGAAGGUUAAGCAAAGUUGUUAGCUUUAGCGAAGCAUUGAUGUGAAGCCCGGGUGAACGGCGGCCGUAACGAUAACGGUCCUAAGGUAGCGAAAUUCCUUGUCGGCUAAAUACUGACCCGCACGAAAGGAGUAAUUAUCUCUUAACUGUCUCGACAUUGGACUCGGUGAAAUUAUGGUUCCGGCGAAGACGCCGGAGACCCGCAUCUAGACGAAAAGACCGCCUAAGGUAGGACUGGUGACUGGGGUGAAGUCGGAACAAGGUAUCCCUACGAACGUGGGGAUGGAUCACCUCCUAAAAAAAAAAAAAAAGAUCG
This 748-nucleotide ribosomal RNA is filed under the name Acidovorax sp. GBBC 3299. Its description in RNAcentral is "partial 23S ribosomal RNA". It matches the Rfam family "Bacterial large subunit ribosomal RNA", at positions 1432 to 2218 of the family's 2925-position model. The record is from RNAcentral. Lineage: Bacteria; Pseudomonadati; Pseudomonadota; Betaproteobacteria; Burkholderiales; Comamonadaceae.